UACGUAGGGUGCGAGCGUUGUCCGGAAUUACUGGGCGUAAAGAGCUCGUAGGUGGUUUGUCGCGUUGUUCGUGAAAACUCACAGCUCAACUGUGGGCGUGCGGGCGAUACGGGCAGACUGGAGUACUGCAGGGGAGACUGGAAUUCCUGGUGUAGCGGUGGAAUGCGCAGAUAUCAGGAGGAACACCGGUGGCGAAGGCGGGUCUCUGGGCAGUAACUGACGCUGAGGAGCGAAGGCGUGGGGAGCGAACAGG
Molecule: ribosomal RNA, 253 nt
Filed under: uncultured bacterium
Lineage: Bacteria
Description: partial 16S ribosomal RNA
Rfam family: Bacterial small subunit ribosomal RNA
Source: RNAcentral